CUUCGCUUGGGUUUUGUUCCAAUUGGGUUUUCUCAAGGAGGUUUUUAACGAGGCGAUGAAGAGGACACUUUAGGUUGAAGUGCGGACAGACGGAUGCACAGGAUGGCUAGUUAAUUGCUCGACUUCUCCAGCUCAACUAAUGAAGGGACCAAAUAGAUUGGAACUAGGACUGGAACGCCAGCAAACGCCUGAAAAAUAUGUAAAUUUCUCCUAAAUAUGUAAUUUUCUCCAAGUGUAUGAACAAAGAACAAAUACACGAAGUUCAUUUCUAUUGCUCCAAAUGUAUAACCAAGGCAAUGUCGCAUAAAAGUUCACAACACCGACAAAUGACGCACCAAAAGGCAUACCUAAUCGGCCCACGGCCAUAACUAAAUAUAGGUUAUAUUCGACCUCAUUUGAAUCGAUACCUAAUUGGCCCACGGCCACAACUAAGUAUAGGUUAUAUUCGACCUAGUUUGAAUCAACACCUAAUAGGCCUAUGGCCACAACUAAGUAUAGGUUAUAUUUGACCUAGUUCGAAUUAACACCUAAUCGGCCCACAACCACAACUAAGUACAGGUUAUAUUCGACCUAGUUCAAAUCAACAACUAAUCGGCCCACGACCCUAAUUAAGUGUUGGUUGUACUCGACCUCAUUCGAAUCAACACCUAGUCGGCCCACGGCCCUAAUUAAGCAUUGGUUAUACUCGAUCUUGUUCGAAUCAACAAGUAAUCGGGCCUCAGCCAUAGAUAAACAUACAAUACAUUCGACCACAUUCAAACUAACAUCCACUGACCCUCAGCCAUGAUCAAACCAAGGUUUUGUUUCAACCUCGUUCAACCCACUUGAGCUAAGUUAUUACGACUAAGGCAACCAAGCAACAAAAUCAACAAACAUACAAGCUUGAAUAGAAGAAAAAAGAAUCAGGUACGAGUAACACAACUAGUAUUUCAUACUUAGAAUAUUUUUUUACAAAGACUCGAAAAGAUGCCCACAAAAAAAAUGCACAAGUCUGCGGCUAAACAAAAAAAAAGAAAGAAAAAACUAAUAAUCGUUGCCUAGCCUAUCAGCAUCAUCAACUUGAUCACCUAAGCCAUCUUCAUCUGCCCCUUCGCCCUCACUAUCGCCAUCAGGUUACUCAUCCUCAUACUAGGCAUCCUCUUCAAUCUGAUCCACACUCACAUCCUCCUCAUCAUCACCGGCCUUCGGUAUAGCGGGAUCGUAGCCACAAGCAACCCGAGCCCUACAUGACUUAACACGAGCAUCCUCGAAGACGACCUCUGAAAUAGUUCCCACACUCAUUAGGUCUCUUAAUAUAUCUAGCUGGGCCUCGGCAUGAAUCCACUCCUCAUAUAUAUCUCGGGGAACAUUAGGAAAACCAGACCCACGAGAAAACGAUGACCGAACUAAUAAUUGGGCUUUCUCGGCUUCAAGAACGGUGACUCGAUCAAAAAAUCCAGAAGCCUCUUUUGCCAAUUUGCCAAUCCUUUCAUUAAGCCGCUUCUCCUUGAGCCUCACCAUCUCCAAGGCGUUUUCCCUCUCGGAACGCAGAACACGGACCAUGAUCUCCAAAGCCUUCGCCUUCCUUAUAGCCCCCAAUCGAGCUAACUCCGCCUUUUCAUGAUCUUCUGCCUUUUUAGCGACCUUGCUGAUUAAAGCAUUCAAUUUUAAUUGACAUUCUUCAAGCUCGGCACGCAGUGAGACCACCUGGGGUUGGAGAUUGCCGCAUUGAGCUUCCAAGACCUUGCUGACCUUGAGCUCUUCUUCUUUGGUUCUCAACGUUCCCUCAAGAAUGCUGCAUUUUUUGAUGACCCUCAUCAGCUCGUCAUCUUUCUCCUUCAAUUCGUUUUGAAGAGCCUAAAAUUGUUGUUAACCGCCUACAAAUCUCGUGGUGCUUGCCACAGUACUUACGGUAUUUUUUCUCCAUCUUCAGAAAAGGGCCUUACGCUUCUCCUCUCUCUGGGCACUCUUAAUUUCCAAAACCACAGUCUACAUAAAAAUAUAGAAAGAAGAAAACAAAAAGUAAGAACGGAGCACAAAAAUGUUGAACUUGAGAAACAAAAGACAAAACGCUUACUCUAAGAGCAAGGACGACUAUGCUCCUUGAUAGGGUAGAAUCAUCCAAUUUUUCAAGGGUUUUACCCUCCACUUCAGAAGAGGGGACCUAGUGAAGGAACCACGUUCUCCGUAUUCACCAACAAAUCUCGAUCCAUGGAGAUCGCAAUGGUCCGCGUGGCCUUUCUAGUCUCUCUUCAAGCCGGGUAAACCCUUCCCCCAUCAUCCUCAUCUCCUUGGUGUCAAGAUCACAACCCGUCUUAUGCCCAUCCUUAGCAACGCCUUUACCUAUCACGUUGACUGGAGAAGAAGGACCAUCAGCUGGUCGCGAGGUAGUUGGCUCAUCUUGCCGUAAAGUAUCAGAAACCCUCGCAGUAGAAACCCUCGCAGACGGUGUCUCGAUUUCUGUCGUGGCAUCAGGAAAAGGCACACCCUCUACGGCCUCAACCAAGGGCGGAAUCUCAAAUGACAACUCGACAUCAUCCUCAAGCACUAUGGUCGUUGUCUCACGUAUGACGUAAUCACCAUGGUUAAACCUAUAGCUCGGGUAACCCUAUCGCUACCUUCCAUCGGCCUUCUUUUACGGGGAACCAAAUCCUCGCUGCCCAGCGAUGACUCCCCUUAUUUGUCUACAAGACGAUAAGUACCCGCAGGUGGAGAAGAAACCGAUGCAGAGGCAGCAUCAGAUGGGGUCGACAACCGAGUGGACCUGGCCGCAGUUGACGUAGGAACACAAGGAGAUUCUCGAGCUGACUUAGCUGCAACCACAAUAGGAACAGAUUCCAAAGGAGAAGCAGCCUUCCUCUUAGGAAAAUUUACCUUUUCAUCAACAUUCUUGCUUACAUUAUUCCAUACUUUUUCAUCAGAUUUGAGAAUAGUCUGAAUAUUCUAUGAUUUAUCUGUCACUCAUCAUUGUUAGGGGGAACACUCAUCUAGCUCAUGCAUUGUUGGGUGAAAAAUUAAUCUUAUUUACUUAAAUGUUAUUUGUUGUUAUUUAUUGCUAGUCACUCCUUUAUUAUUUCUCACUUUCUUUGGAUAUUCAUUGAUUGUUAUUAUUAAUUCUUUUCCAUAUCUGUCUACACGUUAAUCACUUCUUCGGAGUUUGCAUCUGGGAAAAUUAUUGUUAACUAAGUUUAAUCCUUCAAUAAACAAGUAUAAUUAUUUUAAUCGGAAGGUAACACUUUUUUGGUCAAACAGUUUGGUUAUUAGUUAUCCCAUAUAGUUGUCCCACUUUUUAUAUGGGAUAGUUACAUUAUUUUAGUAUAAAAUAAUUCAUGGGACUAAUUAAUGCCAAUAAGCAAAUUCGAGAUAAAAUAAUAUUGCAUUUUAUCCCAAAAUUGUUAUCUCUUAUCCUACCUGCCAAGCGUCUCCUUAAAGUGUAAUGAAAAUCCCCUUCACCAUAUUUCACUUGAGGGACUACUUGCAAAAGUUUGUUUCCGCAAAAAUAGAAGUGCAUAAAUUUGUUCUCAUUUGGCGACAAUCUUAUGAUUUCUAUAAAACUAUCUAUUUUAAUGAGGUGAUUAUGCAAUGAUUAAACUUGUAUAUGUAUAGGCCAAAAUCUGCCUUAAGGGAAUUUAGUGUAAAGCGACAUUAAGAAAAAGAUGCAGUCGAGGUCGACCAGGAAGCAGUGGGAUUCGUGGCCGGGCUGUCAACAACGAUCGAGGUCGAGCACCAAGGACAGAACAAUAACGACUAGUUUUUGUAAUCAGAUAUUAAAGAGAAUAUUCUAUUGAAUAUUCUCUGCACUUGUACUAUUAGGGUUUUUUAGGGACAUGUCUCAUAGAAAAAGAGAUAAUUGGGGAAGGCAUGUAACAUUGACUUGAUAAGAACACUUUUCAGAAGAAGAUUCUCUCUCUCUAGCAAAGAUACAAGCUUUACCUUUUACAAUAUUCUUACACACAUUAUCCCAUACCUUUCCAUCAGAUCCGAGAAUAGUUUGAAUAUUUGAAAAUUUGUUUGUCAUUCAUCAUUGUCAGAAGGAACAAUCAUCCAUUUCAUUCAUUAUUGGGUGAAUCGUUCCCCCUAUUUACGUAAAUGCCAUUUAUUAUUAAUUAUUCCCCCAUUGUUAUCCAUAUCUUUUGGAGUAUUAAAUGUGUUUGAUUUUCAAUCUCUCACCGAUUUUAUCCAAUAUCAUCUAAACUGUCAUGUUCUAUAUCUAGAGAUAUUAUUAUUAACUAAGUUUAACCCUUCAUUACAUAAAAUUUAAUAGUUUAACUGAAAGUUUAUAUUUUUUGGUCAAAAAAUUUGGUGCCGUCUGUGAGGAUUUUCUAGUUAAAUAUUUAGUUUCCUCUAGAUCUACAACUAGCAUGGAUUGCUAACAAAAAAAAAAGAACAAAAUUCCUUUUCCUUAUACGCACAGAUCCGAUAUGGCAGGUAAUGGAGAAGAAAGAAAGAGGGUAAUAGGGACCUCACAACCAACCUCUUGAACACAAUCAAUGAGGUUUCUGAAAUAGAAGGUGAGGAUAUAACGCCUAAUGCCUCUCCCAGGCGAGGCACGCCACCUCAUUCUCAAGGUAGUAUCGCAACGUCUCGCGGUAAAUGAGCUUCCAUGUCCGGAUGGAAGAGGCGCCACCAACAGUAAAAAACCUCCUCGAGUCUUGGCUAACUGACAUGCUAACCAGCAUCCUCCACAAGCCCGCUCAAGAUACAGUUAUAGAAAAUGCAAGGACUUGCACUUCAUGAAUAACGGUCGAGCAACGUGGCCCGUUCCCUCCUCCAAUGAUAGGUAUUACUCAUAACACUAUUAAUAGUGUUGGUGACGACACCCUCACAUCCAUUUUGAAAAAGAUGGCGGAAAUGGAGAACGAGAACAAAGUGCUUCGGGACCAAAUGAGAGAACACCAAGAAGGGUUGAUAAAAUAUCGAGUUCCCCAAAGCUCUUGCCAAAGAGAGAUGUUGGUCGGUUUGUCGAUCAACCAUACAGUGAUGAAGCCGCCCCGCAUGCCAUACCGAAGACCUUCAAAAUGCCGACCUACCUAAAAAUAUAUGAUGGUACGACCAAUCCCGAAGAUCAUGUAACUCACUAUGUCACCGCCGUGAAAGGCAACGACCCCGCCAAGGAACAAGUAACCUCCAUUUUGAUGAAAAAAUUCGACGAGACCCUCACUGGAGGAGCAUUAACAUGGUAUUCUCAGCUGCCCAUGCGUUCCAUUGAAACAUUCGAAGCGAUGGCUGAUAAGUUCGUAAUGGCCCACGUCGGGGCCAAAAAGACAGAGGCAAGAGUGAACGAUAUAUUUGCUAUCAAAUAAUCACUGAGAGAAGGAUUGAGGGACUUCCUUGCCCGAUUCAACCGAGUAAGAAUGAACUUACCAAAUGUAUCGAAAGGAAUGGCCAUCGCAGCUUUCCAGAACGGGCUAAGCAGAAAUGGUUCAAGGGCGACAGGAAAGUUGUUAAGUCGGCUUAUUAAGUAUCUCCCAACUACUUGGGAUAAAAUACACAAUGCCUAUUGUGCCGAGGUUAGAGUAGAUGAGGACGACCUCAAUAGGCCGACUUACCGAUUGACCUCGAUACAAGCAGAGUCCAUAAAAGAUUAAAGAAACGAUGCCAGAAGGGACCUCGUAGCUCCACAACCCAAUCGGAAAUGAAAUAUACCAUAUGUCAGAAGCGCCAUUGUACCCCCUUCCCACUGCGAAGAGCGCCCACCUAGACCAAGGACAGGGACUUACCAGAAUGAGGGAGGUAUGCCCCCUUUGUUAUCCGCUCACAAUUUAUGUGUGUCACCUUCAGAAAUGGUCUACGCAUUGGAGAAACUCGGAUCAAAGGUAAUGGCCACAAAAAAUGAGGUCAGAUCCACGCACCAGAAAGUCAGACACCCUUUGCAAGUUCCACCAAGAACGAGGGCACAAAACUGAGGACUGCAUCGCCCUAAAAUAGGAGGUCAUAAACAUGCUUCGACAAGGACACCUUAAGGAAUUGCUGAGCAACCGGGGAAGUGCCAAAUUUUCCAUAGGAUGCGAACAACAUCAAGGACCACCGAAACCGCCCUCACGAACCCGCACCAUCCAAAUGAACAUCGGUGGCGGCGACAAUGCUACUAUCAAACGUGUAAAGUUCACCACAACCCAUAAGCUCAAACUGUCGAUCACUCACGAACGGUAUGACGAACUCGAAGAAAGUACCAUCUUUGAUAAGUCAGAUAGAUACCUACUGUUUGGUUUUCCUUUACUAUGAUGCCCUUGUUCUCACUUUACGAAUUUUAGAUACAGAUGUGAGAUGCAUUAUGGUAGACGAUGGGAGCGGCGCGUGCAUUAUCCACCCUCGGGUACUUGCACAAAUGAAAGUCGAGGAUAAGAUAGUGUCGUGUUGUAUCAUACUAAUGUCACACCUCCUUUUUACCACCCCGAGGAAGGGGCAUCUUGGAGUUUUUUCCAAUUUAAGUAACAAUCGAAACGGAAUUAUUUUUAUAUAAAAUCAGAGUCGCCACUUGGGAUAAUUUAUGGUGUCCCAAGUCACCGGUUCAAAUCCCGAAUCUAGGAAAGAUUGACUCUAUUUUAUAGUCCGCGAAACACAGAAAUUCAGGUAAGGAAUUCUGUUAAUCCGGGAGAAGGUGUUAGGCAUUCCCGAGUUCUGUGGUUCUAGCACGGUCGCUCAACUGUUAUUAUUGGCCUAUUUAUUUGAUUUUAAAACACCUUUGAAACCUAUGUGCAUUUUUAUUCCUUCUAAACCGCUUUUAAUAAUCCAAUUGUCAUACAGCUAAUUAUUUAAUUACUCGUUGCAAAUCAUGUCACGAGAGUCGUACCCACGAUCGACAAUAUGUUCAUUUUAUUAACAAGAUUAAAUUAUAACCGGGUAACAUAAAUGUACCCCCGGAUUUAGAAAUUAGGCAAUCACAACUACGUCACGGGAACCGUACCCGUAGCUAUGACAAUUUAUUUACAUAAACGUGCCUAAAGCAAACUACGAACGUUCAAGGCAUUUUAUACACGAGUUAAGAUAAUUAAUAUGAGGGCCAUAGAUUAUGUGAUUCAAUUGUAUGAAUGGCACGCCUCAGUUUUAUUAAAAGGAAAGCUAUUCCUAACAAUCUAAGCACGUCGUAGGCAUGAAUCAAUAACUCAAAGAAUUAUAUUCCAAAUUGAAGUAUGAUUGAAAUUAUCCUCCCGCUGACAUGAAAACUUAUUUAUUUUAUACCUUUUUUUAUUCCCAAUCCCACCCAAAAUUCCAAGUACUCAAACUUAUAUUUUUUUUCAAAAACUCACGCCACUACUAAAUAACUCAUUCAUAUAUUUAUGUAUCUAGUUAAAAUAAACGAAAAUCCUAUUGUAUUAACUUAAACCAUUUACCAUACUCAAAAAUAUUAAAUUAACGAGUACAAUAAGAUAAGAUAGCCCUUCAGGCGUGAAAAACAUGUUCAAGCAUUAAAAGCAAACUUAAAUCUAACAUGGAAUCAUCGUUCACAAAAGCAUAGAAGAAACAAAGAUGAAGGGUAGACCUCAAAUGAAGGAUCUGACUUUUAUUAUUGUGAAACUCAACAACGAGCCGAACCGCGACAGAAUUCAACAACGGACCUCGAAUCAGCACCUCGGAUCUACUAACGGAAAGCUCGUCGGCAAGACUCGAAUACGUGGUGGAGUUAUGGGGCUGGAUUUUGGUGGAGGUUUGUGUUGAUUAUAUGUGGCUGACAGUGAUGCUUUUCUUACGAUGGGUUUGUGAUUGUUUGGCCAGAGAUUUGCAGCUGCAUUUCAUUGAGCUUUUCUUACGAUGGGUUUGUGAUGCUUUUAAAUGCUUUUCACUGAGCUUUUUAUUGAGCUUUUAAGAGCUUCGUACAUGGAGUCUCUAUUUGUGCUUUAGCGCCGAAGAAGAUGAAGGGCAGGGUCAUUAUUGUUCUGUUUUGCGGCUAAUGUCUUUAGGCGCUGAGAAGACGAAGAAUGGGGAUGGUCUUUGGGUGGAAAACGGAAAGUUGAGGGUGGUUGUUUGUGAGAUGGCCGCUUUGUUUUUGCUCAGCCAAAAUCCAUGAAAAUGGCUGCUUUGUUUUCAGAAGGAUACAGAUCAGUGGGGGGAGGGUCCUCUGUUGAAAACGGUGCCCAUGGUUAUUUGUAUAUAGGUCUA
RNAcentral lists this long non-coding RNA (8079 nucleotides) under Nicotiana tabacum (common tobacco). RNAcentral's name for it is "long non-coding RNA (NTAB_LNC002357)". The record is from RNAcentral. Lineage: Eukaryota; Viridiplantae; Streptophyta; Magnoliopsida; Solanales; Solanaceae.